GAUGAACGCUGGCGGCGUGCUUAACACAUGCAAGUCGAACGAAGCACUUUAGUUGAUUUCUUCGGAUUGAUUCUAAAGUGACUUAGUGGCGGACGGGUGAGUAACACGUGAGUAACCUGCCCUUGAGUGGGGAAUAACACACCGAAAGGUGUGCUAAUACCGCAUAACAUAACGGAAUCGCAUGUUUCUGUUAUCAAAGAUUUAUUGCUCAAGGAUGGGCUCGCGGCCGAUUAGAUAGUUGGUGAGGUAACGGCUCACCAAGUCGACGAUCGGUAGCCGGACUGAGAGGUUGAACGGCCACAUUGGGACUGAGACACGGCCCAGACUCCUACGGGAGGCAGCAGUGGGGAAUAUUGCACAAUGGGGGAAACCCUGAUGCAGCGACGCCGCGUGAAGGAUGAAGGUCUUCGGAUCGAAACUUUUGUCUUCAGGGUACGAUAAUGACGGUACCUGAGGAGGAAGCCACGGCUAACUACGUGCCAGCAGCCGCGGU
Molecule: ribosomal RNA, 493 nt
Filed under: uncultured bacterium
Lineage: Bacteria
Description: bacterial SSU rRNA
Rfam family: Bacterial small subunit ribosomal RNA
Source: RNAcentral